RNAcentral lists this signal recognition particle RNA (117 nucleotides) under Chlorocebus sabaeus (green monkey). RNAcentral describes it as "Metazoan signal recognition particle RNA". It matches the Rfam family "Metazoan signal recognition particle RNA". Rfam says of the family: The signal recognition particle (SRP) is a universally conserved ribonucleoprotein. It is involved in the co-translational targeting of proteins to membranes. Lineage: Eukaryota; Metazoa; Chordata; Mammalia; Primates; Cercopithecidae. The record is from Rfam by way of RNAcentral.
GCUGGGCGUGGUGGCUCAUGCCUGUAAUCCAAGUACUUUGGGAGGCUGAGGCAGGCGGAUCACCUGAGGUCAGGAGUUCGAGACCAGCCUGGCCAACAUGGUGAAACCCUGUCUCUA